AAAAGUUUAAAAUCUGUUUUGUCAGUGGCAACAGUGAGUGCAUUUCCAACACCCUAUCACCAGAUCUGUGCGUUAAUGGAUAUAUUAUUGACCCGUGACACCCGAUAUGGGUAUAUGAGC
This is a long non-coding RNA of Branchiostoma belcheri (Belcher's lancelet), 120 nucleotides long. RefSeq lists it as uncharacterized. The transcript has 3 exons. The record is from RefSeq and is a predicted model, not a curated record. Lineage: Eukaryota; Metazoa; Chordata; Leptocardii; Amphioxiformes; Branchiostomatidae.